Molecule: long non-coding RNA, 262 nt
Filed under: Mus caroli (Ryukyu mouse)
Lineage: Eukaryota; Metazoa; Chordata; Mammalia; Rodentia; Muridae
Description: predicted gene, 38033 (MGP_CAROLIEiJ_G0002313.1)
Source: RNAcentral
AUUGAUGAAAAUGAAUUUAAUCAGGCCAGGCAGUGGUGGUGCACGCCUUUAAUUCCAGCACUCGGGAGGCAGAGGCAGAGCCCUGAUGAACUCAGGAGGACCCACCUAAAAGAAUAGCCCAGGGAUUCAAUCUUUAGUAUACAGGCUUUGGGGUCACAAUUCAGAUCUAGAAUAUAGUACUACACAGAUAAUCUUUGCAAACCAAAAGUCCAACGAAGGAUUUUGUAAUCUAAAUAUCUGAAGAGUACUCAAGAAAAAAAAA